GGCUAGGUAGCUCAGUCGGUAGAGCAGAGGACUGAAAAUCCUUGUGUCGCCGGUUCGAUUCCGGCUCUGGCCACCA
This 76-nucleotide transfer RNA is filed under the name Simkaniaceae bacterium. RNAcentral describes it as "tRNA-Phe". It matches the Rfam family "tRNA". From Rfam's summary of the family: Transfer RNA (tRNA) molecules are approximately 80 nucleotides in length. Their secondary structure includes four short double-helical elements and three loops (D, anti-codon, and T loops). Lineage: Bacteria; Pseudomonadati; Chlamydiota; Chlamydiia; Parachlamydiales; Simkaniaceae. The record is from RNAcentral.